Molecule: non-coding RNA, 1403 nt
Organism: Onthophagus taurus
Lineage: Eukaryota; Metazoa; Arthropoda; Insecta; Coleoptera; Scarabaeidae
Source: RefSeq, a predicted model, not a curated record
AAGCGGAGUGCGUUAAGGGUGCGCAUGCGGACCAAGCGGGUGAAACUCACACUGAGCGGGGGCGAAUGUCGCACAUGCGCACUAAAAAUAUAUAAGCGGAGCGAACAAACACCCGCCAAAAACGAAUGUUUUUAACAACACGGAAAAGUAAAUAAACAUGAAUUGUGCCGCGAAUAACAGUAAAUGUACAAGCAACUUAAAACAUGAUACAAAAUAAAAAUCAACAAUGUUCAAUUGGCAACAGACAAAGUUGCGAAACAGGUCGCUGUAAUCGACCAUGCGCGGUCUUAACCGUUACGACGCGGAUGACACCAUCUCGCCCAGGAAAACAUUCCUCAACGCCGCCAAACUUCCAUGUCAAGGGCGGAAAACAUUCAUUUCGAAUGAUUACAAGUGUUCCAGGUGAGAUAUUGUUGUACGUUUUAUUCCAUUUUGCCCUUUGCUGGAUGGUAUGAAGAUACUCUUGACUCCACCUCAUCCAGAAAUGCUGGACCAUUUUUUGAAGCAAUUCCCAGCGCGACAAUCGGUUGGACGGCGUAUCCUGGAAAUCUGUACAGGGAAUUUCAGUAUUUAGCGGUGAUAAUACGAGGAAAUGGCCGGGAGUGAGAGCUUGACAGUCAUUCGGAUCCGAACUGAGAGGACAAAGCGGACGAGAAUUGAGGACAGAUUCUAUUUGGCCUCCGUCAAACCAUUAAAAUUAAGUGCAGCCGGAGGGUUGAACAGCCACUCAAUACCAAGUCGUCCACCCGCCUGUUGUGCAAUCUGUAACAUUUGAUUGUAGGCGCCUACGAAAUUAGUUCCCCUGUCGGAAAAUAUUCUGAUACAUCUUCCUCGACGUGCCACGAAGCGCCUCAAUGCAGCCAAAAAUGCAUCGGAAGACAAAUCAGUCACCAAUUCCAAGUGCACCGCCUUUGUGACGGCACAAACGAAGAUGCAUAGGUAGGAUUUAAAGGCUUUGGCUCCUCGAUGUUUCCGUACUGUGGUUGUGAAAGGUCCAGCGAAAUCAAUGCCCACCGUAGUAAAUGCCUUCAUCUGAUUCACUCGAAAAGCUGGCAAAUCGGCCAUAAUUGGUGUAUAGGAUUUUGGAUUGUUUCUAAAGCAAUUAAUACAUCGCGAUAAUACUUUAUAAAUUGUGUUUCUGGGCGAUAAAAUCCAAAAUUGGUUGGCAAUAAUGGCUGAUAGUGUACGAAACCCUGGAUGUAAAUGUUGACGAUGCAAUUCUUCGACGAUCAAUUCACUCAAUCGAUGCUUGCCGGGUAAAAGAAUUGGAUGUUUAGUGUCGAAGCCGAGUUCCGAGUUCCGAAGACGUCCACCCACUCUUAGCAAUUUCUCCCGGCUUAUGAAAGUUCAGAAAAGUACUCCUUUUGGACUUCACGUGCGAUUGUGUGUAAAGCCUGUUGCUU